CUUGCCCAAAUUCACACAGGCAGAAAAGGGCAAACUGACUCAAAUACCUGUGUCCUGACUCCAGGGUGUUGUGGUGGUUCUGUAGUCUGAGCGUUCCUUCCUCACCUGACUGUACCCUCCCCACUCACCUGAGGACUCUCAGAGAGAGGAAGGUACAGUUCCACACCUGGGAAUGACUUGAAGUAUCCUCUGGGUCAGGAGUAGCUGUGAGCCUAAACAAUUUGGGUUUGUUCUAAAAGCUGGGUUUGACUCAUUACCAUGUGACCGUGGGUGAGUCACCUGACUGCCUGACUAGCUUCGUCACCUGUCCCGCAGGACCUUUGCUGUCUCUGCUUUGCUCUGAGCUGAGUCUCAAUCGAUGUAAGGAAGGGGCGAGGGAUGUUAUGUACACAGCUGGGGAUGUGUAGACCCCUGGUGACCUGUCCAACCUCACCAGUGGAACUGGGCCUGGGGCAGACAAAGGUAGGCAGGGCUGUCCCUCAUCCCCUGCUGUCCUCUGUCUACUUUUCAGAGUGGACGGAGGAGCUGAAGAGGCUGAACGUGCACUUGGCAGACCUGUACCAGUGAGAGAGCCCUGGCCCAUGCUCCCUGCUAGCAGAGGGGUGGAGGGUCCUGGCCAGGGUAGUCAGGAAAUCAAGAUCUGUUCCAGGCUGGGCUUCCCUAGGAAACUGGAUUUGGGGAUCCCUCUGACCCCCUUGGGUUGCAUUGUGACCUCUAGAUCCUUCCUCCUUACCCGCUCAGCACGAACUCAGGAUGCCUGCCCUCUCACACAGGUGUGCACACCCAGCCCAGCAACUCCACCGGGUGCCUGUGGAGUGUCCUCUGACCUCCAUGGGGUCUAGCGAGGUUGUGCCUGGAGCUUGGAGGCACCGUUCCUUUUCUCCUGGGUCAUGUGGCUGUUUUUGCACCAGGCACAUGGAUGGGAGCAGUUAUGGGCUGCAAGUUAUCAACUCCACCAAGAGGGAGAUUCAGGUUCCUGAGCCCAGUUACAGGAUUUUCCACAACCCCUGCAGAGCUCCACUUGUCCUUGUCUGCCAGCGCCCUCUGCUGGUCAAUGCUCCAAAUGACAGCACCGUGCGGCUGCAGGAGGACUGAGUUCAGGGUGAUUUGUGGAGCGUGGCUAGACCCUCAAUCUCCGUUAACCUAAUCUCCAUGAACCCUCCUUGAGACAUGCCUGCCUGUUGGGUCGGGUCCUCAACGUGCCAGACUAGCCAGCUGUGAUCAGCGUCUGGGGGCAGCUAGCUGAUGGCGCUAUGCAGACCUCUACACCAGCUGCCUGCCUCAACUUCCUGAACCACCCGCUCAGCUUGCUGUAUCUGGCGGUCCUGGAGCUGGUGGGUCCCUGCAGAGCCUCUCUGGCUAUCCCUGACCCUCUGCCCCAGGAGGAGCCGCUGGUCCCCAGCCCUGCCAAGAGCUUCUGAGGUCACCAGGCCCCAUCUCCCACCUCCAGGCACAAGUGGCUCAAAGCCUUGCAGAUGCCCCAUGAGUCUGCUGUGGAGCAGGAACGGGUUAACCAGCAUCCCCUCUCCUGCCCUGUCUUCUACAGCCUGAGGGCUGAGGGCAAGGAGAGAGUUGAGGACCAAGAGGGCUGCAUGGAGGCCAAAUGAAUCCUGGACAUGUGCUGGCUUCAUGGUCAUCUUCUACUUGAGAUAUUUUUCAGAUAAAUGGAAAAGUGUGGAAGAGAGAAAAAGCAAUCCAUAUUGAAAUCUCCCAAAUGUAACAGAUUUGGAGCCCAAGAACACAUCUUUUAGGGAGGAGGGAGUAUUGUCAUCCUAGAAGACAUUCCCUACGGCUUUUGGGCCAUUUGGAAAUGGAUGGAACAAGUGGAAUUGCUGUACCCAGUCCCAGUCCCCCUGAGCCGCAUCAUGCUGCACAUCCAAUGUUGUUUCUACACAUUUCUUUUAAGAAAAAUAAUAUUUCCAUGCACUUUUGAUUCUGUUAUGAGUAACAAUACCUGAUAGGCCAUAGGUGAUUUCAUUAACUGUUCUUUCUUUCCAGGUCACUAUGAAAGAUUGAUGAGUAAAUGUGAUAGCACCAACAUCUUUGAGCUUGAUGUGUACAUGCAUUGAAACAUGUAAGAAAUCAUACUUAUGAUUUAAGAACUUGGUACUUUAUUUUGGUAGGACCUGCCCUGUGGUACUGGGCCUGGGUCCUACAUUGUUCUGAUGUCAAUCCUACAGCUUGUGUUUUGUCUGUUAGUGGUAUCAUCUGGCAUUAUAUAGAGGCUUAGAAUGAAUAUACAUCUACAUAACUGAAAUGACAAAAUAAACUCUUGAAGGAACAGG
Molecule: long non-coding RNA, 2285 nt
Organism: Felis catus (domestic cat)
Lineage: Eukaryota; Metazoa; Chordata; Mammalia; Carnivora; Felidae
Exons: 5
Source: RefSeq, a predicted model, not a curated record